CCACGGCCAUAGGACUCUGAAAGCACCGCAUCCCGUCCGAUCUGCGCAGUUAACCAGAGUGCCGCCCAGUUAGUACCACGGUGGGGGACCACGCGGGAAUCCUGGGUGCUGUGGUUUUACUUUUUUU
This 127-nucleotide ribosomal RNA is filed under the name Chondrostereum purpureum. Lineage: Eukaryota; Fungi; Basidiomycota; Agaricomycetes; Agaricales; Cyphellaceae. The record is from RNAcentral.